Cryptomeria japonica (Japanese cedar) is the source of this 1581-nucleotide long non-coding RNA. RefSeq lists it as uncharacterized. The transcript has 5 exons. Lineage: Eukaryota; Viridiplantae; Streptophyta; Pinopsida; Cupressales; Cupressaceae. The record is from RefSeq and is a predicted model, not a curated record.
AAAAAGGAAGGGAGUAGAAGAAUUACGUAGAUUUUUCCAACUGCCAGAACGAGGGAAUUAAGUGGAGUGAAAGGUCUGCAACCGAUCAAGACUAAAGUGAGGACAAAAUCCGAUGGCGACGGCGAAGGCCGGAGGUAUUACAGUCAAAUGAGAAUGAAGUUUGGUAUUUAUUUUCAAAUAACGGGAAGCACUUGGCUUCAGCAUCGAAAGAUUGCACUAUAAUGAUUUGGGAGGUAGCCAAGUAUGGUGUCGUGUCAAUAAAAUGUAGACCGGCUGAACACUGUAAACCAGUUCCAUUUGUUGCUUGGAGCCCUGAUGCCAAGUAUUGCUUACUUGAGGUAUUGAGGAGUUUGUCAAGCUUUGGAAUGUUGAUAUUGGAGAUUGCAAGUGGACAUAUGAUAAAGCCAGCAGCGGUUUCACUUCCUGUGGGUGGUUUCCAGAUGGUACAUGUGUAAGCUGUGGUGGUGUUGAUAAAUGCAUCUAUAUAUUGGAUCUAGAAGGAAAGGAACUGGAUUCAUGGAAAGGACAGCAAAUGCCAAAGAUUUCUGAUUUGGCUGUCACAUGUGAGGAAAACAAAUAAUCAGCACCUGUGGGGAGAAUAUGAUUAUGAUGUACAUUUGGAUACCAAAACUGUGAGACUAAUUGAAGAGGACAAAUCGAUAACUUCUUUAUGUGUUUCCAAGGACAGUAGGUUUCUCCUUGUAAACCUAGCGAACCAAGAGAUUCACCUAUAGGAUAUUACGGCUGAUUCAAAGCUAUUAUUGAAGUAUGAAUGCCACAAGCAAGGUUGCUAUGUUAUUAGGUUCUGCUUUGGUGGAUCUAAUAAUGCCUUUGUUCUCAGUGGUCUAAAUAUGGCAUCAAGGUAAUGGUCAGCUUUUAGCAGUUUUGCCUGGUCACUCAGGUACUGUAAACUGUGUGAGCUGGAAUCCUGUGAACCCACACAUGUUUGCAUCUGCUAGUGAUGAUUACACUGUACGCAUAUGGGGAGUUGACAAAAACAUUUUGAAGAGUAAGAGUACCAACUUUAGCAAUGGAGUAGUUCACAUUGCAAAUGGAAGGCCAAAGAAGCAAAUGAGAGGGCAUUGAAUGCAAUCAUUGAAUGCAAUCACCAAUUGUCUGGGAGUUCCUGAAACUAUGGUUUAAGAAGCAAAGCUGCUCUUCCUUAAGAUGCACAGAAGAAUCGUUAGAUCAUUCCCAAAACAUACAUAAAAAUCCUUUGAAAAGAUGAAUUCUAAUUUUCAGGUCACAAGUUUCUAAAAUGUCUGGUCACAAUUUAGGUUUGUUACUGGCUUACUGCCCUUGCGAAAUCGGGGGAAGCUUUUCCUUGUUGACAUUAGUAUCUCAGGUAAUAAGGCUCAUAUAGGGCUCUUCUGCACAUUGGUAAUUUCUUCAUGCAAGGGAUGCUGAAAUGUUAGAAUUAUUGUUUUCUGUUCGGGCUAUUUCUUCAUGAGAGAAAUGUUACAAAAACUAAGGCUCUCUCAAUCUGAGAAGUGGGCCUGAGUGAUUUCUGAAGACAGGAAAUCUUGUGGCACAAAGAUUGUGUUUCCAAAUUCAACAAGAUAAUGUGAAACAUUGUUACCA